RNAcentral lists this ribosomal RNA (525 nucleotides) under Myroides odoratimimus. RNAcentral describes it as "partial 23S ribosomal RNA". It matches the Rfam family "Bacterial large subunit ribosomal RNA", at positions 1 to 543 of the family's 2925-position model. Lineage: Bacteria; Pseudomonadati; Bacteroidota; Flavobacteriia; Flavobacteriales; Flavobacteriaceae. The record is from RNAcentral.
AUAAGCAAAAUAAGGGCGUAUGGGGAAUGCCUAGGCUCUCAGAGGCGAAGAAGGACGUGAUAAGCUGCGAAAAGCUACGGGGAUUGGCACACACGAAUUGAUCCGUAGAUAUCCGAAUGGGGCAACCCAGUAUGUUGAAGACAUACUAUCCAAUAUGGAGGCGAACCCGCUGAACUGAAACAUCUAAGUAGGCGGAGGAGAAGAAAACAAAAGUGAUUCCGUAAGUAGUGGCGAGCGAACGCGGAAUAGCCCAAACCAAAGUUGUUACGGCAAUUUUGGGGUUGUAGGACCACGAGAUUUCUUGCGGAUUUAAUUAGAAUUACCUGGAAAGGUAAACCGAAGAGGGUGAUAGUCCCGUAUAAGUAAGAGAAGAUAAGAAUAGUGGUAUCCUGAGUAGGUCGGGGCACGUGAAACCUUGAUUGAAACUGGCGGGACCAUCCGCUAAGGCUAAAUACUCCUGAGAGACCGAUAGUGAACCAGUACCGUGAGGGAAAGGUGAAAAGAACCGUGAAUAACGGAGUGAAA